UACGGGGGGAGCAAGCGUUGUUCGGAUUUACUGGGCGUAAAGGGCGCGUAGGCGGUCGUGACAAGUCACUUGUGAAAUCUCCGGGCUUGACUCGGAACGGUCAAGUGAUACUGUCGGACUAGAGUACAGAAGGGGCAACUGGAAUUCUCGGUGUAGCGGUGAAAUGCGUAGAUAUCGAGAGGAACACCUGCGGCGAAGGCGGGUUGCUGGGCUGAUACUGACGCUGAGGCGCGAAAGCCAGGGGAGCGAACGGG
RNAcentral lists this ribosomal RNA (254 nucleotides) under uncultured bacterium. RNAcentral's name for it is "partial 16S ribosomal RNA". It matches the Rfam family "Bacterial small subunit ribosomal RNA", at positions 524 to 776 of the family's 1533-position model. The record is from RNAcentral.